Molecule: ribosomal RNA, 1024 nt
Filed under: Dictyosporium sp.
Lineage: Eukaryota; Fungi; Ascomycota; Dothideomycetes; Pleosporales; Dictyosporiaceae
Description: SSU rRNA
Rfam family: Eukaryotic small subunit ribosomal RNA
Source: RNAcentral
UUAUACCGUGAAACUGCGAAUGGCUCAUUAAAUCAGUUAUCGUUUAUUUGAUAGUACCUUACUACUUGGAUACCCGUGGUAAUUCUAGAGCUAAUACAUGCUAAAAACCCCGACUUCGGGAGGGGUGUGUUUAUUAGAUAAAAAACCAACGCCCUUCGGGGCUCCUUGGUGAUUCAUGAUAACCUCUCAGAUCGCACGGCCUUGCGCCGGCGACGGUUCAUUCAAAUUUCUGCCCUAUCAACUUUCGAUGGUAAGGUAUUGGCUUACCAUGGUUUCAACGGGUAACGGGGAAUUAGGGUUCGAUUCCGGAGAGUGAGCCUGAGAAACGGCUCACACAUCCAAGGAAGGCAGCAGGCGCGCAAAUUACCCAAUCCCGACACGGGGAGGUAGUGACAAUAAAUACUGAUACAGGGCUCUUUUGGGUCUUGUAAUUGGAAUGAGUACAAUUUAAACCUCUUAACGAGGAACAAUUGGAGGGCAAGUCUGGUGCCAGCAGCCGCGGUAAUUCCAGCUCCAAUAGCGUAUAUUAAAGUUGUUGCAGUUAAAAAGCUCGUAGUUGAAUCUUUGGCCUGGCUGGCGGGUCCGCCUCACCGCGUGCACUUGUCCGGCCGGGCCUUCUCUUCUGGAGAACCGCAUGCCCUUCACUGGGCGUGUUGGGGACCAGGACUUUUACUUUGAAAAAAUUAGAGUGUUCAAAGCAGGCCUUUGCUCGAAUACGUUAGCAUGGAAUAAUAGAAUAGGACGUGCGGUCCUAUUUUGUUGGUUUCUAGGACCGCCGUAAUGAUUAAUAGGGACAGUCGGGGGCAUCAGUAUUCAAUUGUCAGAGGUGAAAUUCUUGGAUUUAUUGAAGACUAACUACUGCGAAAGCAUUUGCCAAGGAUGUUUUCAUUAAUCAGUGAACGAAAGUUAGGGGAUCGAAGACGAUCAGAUACCGUCGUAGUCUUAACCAUAAACUAUGCCGACUAGGGAUCGGGCGGUGUUAUCGAUUUGACCCGCUCGGCACCUUGCGAGAAAUCAAAGUGUU